RNAcentral lists this ribosomal RNA (201 nucleotides) under uncultured bacterium. RNAcentral's name for it is "partial 16S ribosomal RNA". It matches the Rfam family "Bacterial small subunit ribosomal RNA", at positions 1300 to 1500 of the family's 1533-position model. The record is from RNAcentral.
GCAGGCUGCAACUCGCCUGCAUGAAGUUGGAAUUGCUAGUAAUCNCGAAUCAGAAUGUCGCGGUGAAUACGUUCCCGGGCCUUGUACACACCGCCCGUCACACCAUGAGAGUCGAUAACACCCGAAGCCUGUGAGCUAACCGCAAGGAGGCAGCAGUCGAAGGUGGGGUUGAUGAUUGGGGUGAAGUCGUAACAAGGUAUC